Zophobas morio is the source of this 1552-nucleotide long non-coding RNA. RefSeq lists it as uncharacterized. The transcript has 3 exons. The record is from RefSeq and is a predicted model, not a curated record. Lineage: Eukaryota; Metazoa; Arthropoda; Insecta; Coleoptera; Tenebrionidae.
UUUCGACUUCAUGUUCGAAAACUAUAUCUCUGAGAGGCGCUGUACCUCACGAAUUAACAAAAGUAACCUCAUUAUAUCUACAAAAUGUUGUUCAUUCUGAUGACGUAACUUUGUACAAAACAACUGUUGCAAUUUACUUGGGGAUUUCACGACUAAAAGUAACGAUUUCGUAACAGCGAUGUGGUGGUUGUACUUGAAUAUGGCACAAACCCACCCAAACUUUUGAUUUGUGCCCAAUGAUUCCAGUGAAGAAGUCAUUAUGACGCAUGUUCCUUUCUACGCAGAGAAUAGCAUCAGCCUCGAGUGUUUCUGUCUUUUUUAGUUACGUCAGUGAUGGUGGUUAAAGGUUGAUACCCCUGGGAUCCUUCUCAAAGGGCAACCGUCGCCAUUCCGUUACCAUCACGCCUGCAUCUGUUCCUCGAGGUUAAAGACCUACCAGGUCAACAGCCACGUAAAGUGUGCACAUGAUGCUCAUGAGAACUGGACUCCCCGACGUUUCCUUUAUCGUUCGUACUUUUCCAGUAGCAUCUUCAGGAAUUGCGUCAUGCUUGGACGCAAAAUUGAUACCCAACAUGCGUCAUGCUACUGCAGGCUGAAGUCAAGGUUUCCGUCGACAAAAACAUCGCUGACAACAUUGUUAAGAUGCGGUCAAGGUCGUAGGAUUGGGUCCCUUCUAAAAGUUUGAGGUUUUGUUCCCCAAAGUGGUCGUUCACCUAUCGAUUUUUGCACAUCCAUUUACUGAAAAUGUGGUCACAAAUCGCAGGUCGUUUACCUUAGAAAGUUACAAUUUAGACGUAAAUUUGUACAAUGUGCAUUGAGAUCUGGAAUGUCGAUAAUAAUUAAUAAUGACCUUUGCGUUCCGUUCAAUGAACCCUUGUUUCAUCGCAAAAAGGCUCACGAUUUUUUUCGGGAAAGUGCUGCUCUGAAUUUGAUUGUGGAAAUAUGUCGCUGAUUUCAGUUUUGCGUGAUAAAGGCGGGUCGAGACAUCGGAUUUUUUAUCAUUGAUAUGAAGUUUAGUAGCAAGUUUAUAUAAUGAUAGUACGUUUGGAAGUACCUAUUAAGAAAGGGGAUAAGUUAGCUGUGUCACGAAGAAUAUAAAUUACUACGAUAAGUCGAAUAAAACAAAGAACAAGGUUUUGAUACACAUUUCUUGGUGACUUUUCUACGCACUCGAGUUUUGUUUAGAACCGAUAAUUUUAUUUCUUGAGAGAACGCACAAAUUCGCUAAAGUGUUAAUUAUCAUGUAAAAAGGAAAUAGUUUUGUUUUGCUCGAUAAGAGACACGUGUUCGUAAUUUUGAAAUUUUAUUUUAAAAUAUUAUCUUCUGAAUCGUCCUGAUAAAGUUGUUGAAACUUGAGUACCAGAAUAUCGUAGAAUAACAAACGUAACAUUUAUCUAAUUUCGAUAGAAACCUUUGGUGCAUCUAACGAUGUAUGUAGUACCUGCUUCCGCAAAAAGUACGACUAGUUUGUGUCAAUGUCCCGAAAUAGAGAAACUUCAUGCUUUAAAGUUUUUUAGAUUGAAUUAUUUUUUUUUUGGAUUUUGAUACAUUU